Molecule: long non-coding RNA, 1089 nt
Organism: Panthera uncia (snow leopard)
Lineage: Eukaryota; Metazoa; Chordata; Mammalia; Carnivora; Felidae
Exons: 4
Source: RefSeq, a predicted model, not a curated record
UCUCCAGCUUCCCACCUCGGGUCUGGGGGAGGAGGGCGGGGGACGCGUGCGCCCAGGUCCUAGGGGCGAGCAGGUGCUCGGGAGGGGGCGCUCUGGGGGCAAGUCCGCACCGUGGGGGCGGGGGUCGCCUGCUUGUCACCCCUCCGGCGCCCCAAUCUCACCUCCGCCCCGGGCCUGUGCUCAGCCGGUGGGCAGAGCGCCCGGGCUCGCUUUCGGCGUGUGCGCCCACAUCGCCGGGGUGUGAGUCACUCCAGGCGGCCGGCACACCCACUUCCCCGGAGUUGGAGGCAGGAGCGAGGAUCCAGGCCUCGGUCUGGUGUGUGCUGUCACUCCUGGCAGAGGACAGAAGCAGGAGAGAACAACCAGCGAGACACGUGUGAGAAGCACUCAGCCUAACACUGUUGACUUUGAACACUGAGGAAAGGGCUGCAUGUAGAGGAAGCAGACGGCCCCUCGGAGCUGGAAAAGGAAGGCAAUGGACUCCAGGAGGCCUCCAGUCCUGCUGAUGGCUUGAUUUUCUCCCAGUAGGACCCACUUUCGACUUCUGAACUGCAGGACUGUGAGGUGUCCGCGCCUCCACCUUAUCUGCUUUCCUAUUCUUGCUCUCCCUCUGCUUGUCCUCAUCCCAUUUCCUGGACAGAAUCAAGCUCAGUCAGUGCGGUGGACGGAGUGUAGAAGCCAGAAACGGAAAGCUUUCCCACAGCCCUGUGGUCCACAGUUUCCCAGCGGACAGAUAUUUAUGAAGCCUCGGCAAUGUUUCAGAGACUGUGUUGGGAGCUGGGGCCUCAGAGAGGAUGAGGCAGACAAGAAUGUGCCCUCAUAGGGAUUCCAUUCUGAUGGGGAAGACAGGUCGAUAAAAAUGGGAAAUGCCUGACAGGAAGCUGGGAAGGAAGGGAGGGAGUAGUGUGUAGGUGGGUCUGGGUUACAGUUUCAGCGGGUGGUAUUUGAGCAAGGAUUUGAGGAAGGUGAAGGGAUUGGCCAGGCACUAGGAGAAAAGUGGUGCUGAUUGAAGGAGAGGUGGGGCAAAGGGCCUGAGGCAACUCUGUCGUGGGUGGGAUGUAGCCUGAAGGCCUGGUGGCUGGAGCUGGA